Long non-coding RNA from Rhincodon typus (whale shark), 563 nucleotides. RefSeq lists it as uncharacterized. The transcript has 3 exons. Lineage: Eukaryota; Metazoa; Chordata; Chondrichthyes; Orectolobiformes; Rhincodontidae. The record is from RefSeq and is a predicted model, not a curated record.
AAGCCUUCCCUCAGAUGUGCAGUUCAUUUUCGGUUUGCCCCUUCGCCCAGAGUCUGAGCAGCUAUUCACAGGACAGGAGCGGAGCCUGUCUCUCACAAUCAUCCAGUACAUUGCCAACUUUGUCAAAUCGGGCAACCCCAACUAUCCCUUCGUCUUCUCCAGGAAGUCUGCUAGUGAGGCUCUACCUCCAUGGCCUCGUUUCUUAGACAGCACCGAUGGCAGUAACUACAAAGAAUUUGCAUCUGCCCUCAAAAAUAAGAAAGGAUUGAAGACUGCAGAAUGUUCUUUCUGGAAUGAUUAUGUUGAGAUGUUCUUGGCAUCCACGGGUGAUGUCAGUGAGAAUAAUCUGAGCAGAGAUCAACAUGGCCAAGUCUUCCCGUCAUCAGUCACUCAAACACAACCGCAACCAGCAAAGGAAGUUUACAAUUAAGAUGAAAAUAUCUCCACUGCAGAUGAUUUCAAAUGCUAAUUCUGAUAUGUCUUAGAAACAUUUAAUGGAAAUUGCAGAAAAGAAAAUAGUAAAAUAAAGCAUCCAUUAUAAAAAUAAAUAUGGUUACAGUCUA